RNAcentral lists this long non-coding RNA (1821 nucleotides) under Marmota monax (woodchuck). Lineage: Eukaryota; Metazoa; Chordata; Mammalia; Rodentia; Sciuridae. The record is from RNAcentral.
AGCAAGCUUUACCCUAGAGAUGCUUUUGCUUUCAGCAGAGCAGUUUUGUAACAUUUACUUUUAAAAGUCUUUCAUUCUCUCUUGAAUGCUUUUAGAUUACUAUGAUGGAACAUAACUUUGGAUGUUAACAGUGACAGUCUUUGGACUCACACAUAGUCAUGCCUCAAACUAUGACAGCAUACCGAAAAACUUUUUGGUGAAUAUGUGAAAAGAGAACCAUCCUAACUAACAAGUUUUGAAUAAAAUAGUUACAUCUAAUUUUCUGAUUGUGCCUUUGCACACAGUGCCCAUGGCCUUGAGGGAGAAAGAGCAAAAGAGCAUCUGAAUAGACAUAGAAGACAUCAGAGAAAUGGAGUCCAAAUCAGAGCACUUCAUUUCAUUCUGUAGAACAUUACAGAUUUUUUUUCCCCAAAGCAAACAAGAAUUCAUAAGAAAAAGAAAAAACUACUCAUGAUGUUACUUAGCUCUUUAUUAGUGAAAUGUAGGUUUUAUGAAGUCAGUUCUUAUUCAAUGACAACAAAAUCUUACCAAGACUUUUAUAGAUGAAUAGGAUUUUUCAGCUAACAGGGCCAUGUGUGGUGCUGUGGAAAGUGUAAUGGACAAGAGAUACUGGAUUCUAAUUCUGGAUCUGCCAUCCUGGAUGCUUGAGGAAGAAUAAUUUCUAAGUUUCAGCAAGAAGCAGACAAUGAUUCAAUUGGCAAAAGUUAUUUUGAGGAUUCAGUGAAACAACUCAGGUAUAUAGUAAGGAGAAUGUGUCUAAGAAUGUUCAGGUUUUGUGUUCAAUGUGAAUACAACAUGUCAGUAAAUAAAAGCAAUAUACUCAAUGCCAUUUUGAGCCCCAGUAAAAGAGAAAGAAUUAAGGAAAAAAUAAAAUACAUGGUAAAGCUAUAAAAUCUUUCAAGUUGUUUCUCCUUACUUAACCAAUUUUAACAAAUAUUUGAAUCCCUAGUCUUUCAUCCUCUUUUUCUUACCCUCAGCUGUGUUUCUGAUUGGUCCCAUCUGUUCCCACUAAAUUCCAUGUUAUUCUCUUCUUGAAAUGCUUUUUCAUUGUGCUCCCUUCUCUCUUCUACUUUCUUUUUUGCUUAGACACAGUAUAUUUAUUUACUUUCACAUUUCACUUUAAUUUUCUUGAAGAAAGCUCUCCUUAACUGAGACCCUGAUUAGGCUGACUUCCAUUUCUGUAGCCAUUUAGGCAUUUGAUAACUCUGGGUCAUAUGUGUGUCGCAUCUGCCAGAUGGGCAUCACAAAGGCACAGGUUUGUUAUGUCCAUAAAACCCAGUGUGUGUGUUGCCUAGCACACUGCACACACUCAAAACUAUAUUGGGGCCAAUAAUUGAAUGGAUAAAUGCAUUUCAUUUUUAAAAUUUCAUAUUUUUUCUGUUAGAAAUGAAGUUUCAAAGAUGAUUUAAUAUUAAUUUUGUCUUAUGGAUUUAUUUACUUUGUAUAUCACUUCCUUUAAAUCAGUAGUACUCAGUGUAUCUAGAUAAAAGAUAUUUCAUCAAUUAAAUAUGGUCUUGAUAUCUACAAUGAAAAUCAUGAAUACUUUUUUCAUUCAUCGCUAUGUGUGUGUGUGUGUGUGUGUGUGUGAGUGUGAGUGCACGCGUGCACGCGAGUGAAAUUUCUCAGUGAUGAAGCUUAAUGAAGCAAUAUGGAUAGUAGAAGGGAAAUAGAACCUAAAUGGUGGGUCUAAGAGCUGACCCUGAUUAAUGCUGGGCAAAUCAUUUAGCACUUUUGAGAUUCCUUAUGGCUAAAAAAGGAAGAAAUGAAUAUCCAUUGCCCAACUCACAUGAUUUUUUGGAGGAUCUAAUAGAUACAUACAUA